Molecule: ribosomal RNA, 468 nt
Filed under: uncultured bacterium
Lineage: Bacteria
Description: partial 16S ribosomal RNA
Rfam family: Bacterial small subunit ribosomal RNA
Source: RNAcentral
GACGAACGCUGGCGGCGUGCUUAACACAUGCAAGUCGAACGGAAAGGCCCUGCUUUCGUGGGGUGCCCGAGUGGCGAACGGGUGAGUAACACGUGAGUAUCCUGCCCUUGACUUUGGGAUAACUUCAGGAAACUGGGGCUACUACCGGCUAGGAGAUCCUGCUGGAAGGUGGGGGUUGGAAAGUUUCGGCCGGUGUGGAUGGACUCGCGGCUUACCAGCUUGUUGGUUGGGUAGUUGCUUACCCAGGCUUUGGCGGGUAGCCGGCCUGAGAGCUUGACCGGCGACAAUACUACUGAGGUACGGAGCAGUGGCGAACGGGAGGCAGCGGGGGGGAAUAUGACACAGUGAGGGGGAGCCUGUGGAGGCGGCGUCCCGUGUGUGAAGACGGUCUUCGGGGUGUAAACCGCAGUCGGCUGUGACGAAGCUGUAGUGACGGUAAUGAGAAAAGAAGCACCGGCUAACUACGUG